GGAGUUCAAGAAUCAAUCUUUAAAAUAUAAAAGCUUGGUUGAUUGUGGUGAUAUGAUCAUACCCAUGUUGAUGCUUGUUUGUUUUGCUAUAUAAUAGUAUUGUGACUGUAUAUCUCAUGAAAGUUAUGUUGUUAGUUGAAAAACAUGAUCUUUAGAUGGAUUGAUAGAAUGCAAGUAUGAAAUCCACCUAUGCCUUAAAGAAUGCAUGCAAGGUGUUCGAUAAAAUGCCUAGUAUGUUAGAACUUCAUAUUUACAUGAUUUCAUGAUAUCUAAAUAACAAGUUCAUGUUAG
Molecule: long non-coding RNA, 291 nt
Filed under: Capsicum annuum
Lineage: Eukaryota; Viridiplantae; Streptophyta; Magnoliopsida; Solanales; Solanaceae
Description: long non-coding RNA (CANN_LNC015466)
Source: RNAcentral